This 1486-nucleotide ribosomal RNA is filed under the name Vibrio vulnificus. RNAcentral describes it as "partial 23S ribosomal RNA". It matches the Rfam family "Bacterial large subunit ribosomal RNA", at positions 1 to 1546 of the family's 2925-position model. The record is from RNAcentral. Lineage: Bacteria; Pseudomonadati; Pseudomonadota; Gammaproteobacteria; Vibrionales; Vibrionaceae.
GGUUAAGUGACUAAGCGUACACGGUGGAUGCCUUGGCAGUCAGAGGCGAUGAAGGACGUAGUAACUUGCGAUAAGCGUAGAUGAGGCAGUAACAGCCACUUGAGUCUACGAUUUCCGAAUGGGGAAACCCACUGGCAUAAGCCAGUAUCAUUGAGUGAAUACAUAGCUCAAUGAAGCGAACCGGGAGAACUGAAACAUCUAAGUACCCCGAGGAAAAGAAAUCAACCGAGAUUCCGAAAGUAGCGGCGAGCGAAAUUGGAUUAGCCCUUAAGCUUUACAUGUGUUAGACGAACGGUCUGGAAAGUCCGACGAUACAGGGUGAUAGUCCCGUAGUUGACGAUGCAUGUUCAGUGAAAUCGAGUAGGGCGGGACACGUGUUAUCCUGUCUGAAUAUGGGGGGACCAUCCUCCAAGGCUAAAUACUCCUGACUGACCGAUAGUGAACCAGUACCGUGAGGGAAAGGCGAAAAGAACCCCUGUGAGGGGAGUGAAAUAGAACCUGAAACCGUGUACGUACAAGCAGUAGGAGCACCUUCGUGGUGUGACUGCGUACCUUUUGUAUAAUGGGUCAGCGACUUAUAUUCAGUGGCAAGGUUAACCAUCUAGGGGAGCCGUAGGGAAACCGAGUCUUAACUGGGCGCCAUAGUCUCUGGAUAUAGACCCGAAACCGAGUGAUCUAGCCAUGGGCAGGUUGAAGGUUGAGUAACAUCAACUGGAGGACCGAACCGACUAAUGUUGAAAAAUUAGCGGAUGACUUGUGGCUAGGGGUGAAAGGCCAAUCAAACUCGGAGAUAGCUGGUUCUCCCCGAAAGCUAUUUAGGUAGCGCCUCGGACGAAUACUACUGGGGGUAGAGCACUGUUAAGGCUAGGGGGUCAUCCCGACUUACCAACCCUUUGCAAACUCCGAAUACCAGUAAGUACUAUCCGGGAGACACACGGCGGGUGCUAACGUCCGUCGUGGAGAGGGAAACAACCCAGACCGCCAGCUAAGGUCCCAAAUUACAGCUAAGUGGGAAACGAUGUGGGAAGGCUUAGACAGCUAGGAUGUUGGCUUAGAAGCAGCCAUCAUUUAAAGAAAGCGUAAUAGCUCACUAGUCGAGUCGGCCUGCGCGGAAGAUGUAACGGGGCUAAGUUGUAAACCGAAGCUGCGGCAAUGUUCUAUGAACAUUGGGUAGGGGAGCGUUCUGUAAGCCGUUGAAGGUGUGUUGUAAAGCAUGCUGGAGGUAUCAGAAGUGCGAAUGCUGACAUGAGUAACGACAAGGGGGGUGAAAAACCUCCCCGCCGGAAGACCAAGGGUUCCUGUCCAACGUUAAUCGGGGCAGGGUAAGUCGACCCCUAAGGCGAGGCUGAAAAGCGUAGUCGAUGGGAAACGGGUUAAUAUUCCCGUACUUCUUACAAUUGCGAUGGGGGGACGGAGAAGGCUAGGUGGGCCUGGCGACGGUUGUCCAGGUUCAAGUGCGUAGGCUGAGUGUUUAGGUAAAUCCGGA